UAACCUGCCUUAUAGUGGGGGAUAGCCUUUCGAAAGGAAGAUUAAUACCGCAUAAGAUUGUAGUAUCGCAUGAUAUAGCAAUUAAAGGAGCAAUCCGCUAUAAGAUGGACCCGCGUCGCAUUAGCUAGUUGGUGAGGUGAUGGCUCACCAAGGCGACGAUGCGUAGCCGACCUGAGAGGGUGAUCGGCCACAUUGGGACUGAGACACGGCCCAGACUCCUACGGGAGGCAGCAUG
This 235-nucleotide ribosomal RNA is filed under the name uncultured bacterium. RNAcentral's name for it is "partial 16S ribosomal RNA". It matches the Rfam family "Bacterial small subunit ribosomal RNA", at positions 122 to 353 of the family's 1533-position model. The record is from RNAcentral.